Mya arenaria is the source of this 456-nucleotide long non-coding RNA. RefSeq lists it as uncharacterized. The record is from RefSeq and is a predicted model, not a curated record. NCBI's taxonomy places the organism in Eukaryota, Metazoa, Mollusca, Bivalvia, Myida, Myidae. The transcript is spliced from 4 exons.
GGAGAAAGUCACUUUAUCUUGCCUACUGUGUUUUGGGGCGAUUUAAAGAUGCUGUCUUUGGCAAGGUUACAACAUGUGUUUUGAUUCUAUUGAUCGCAUCUGUUUGACGGUCAUGGAUUUGUUUACAAGGGCCACACACUACCGGUGUGGUUUACAAGAGCAUGUAUGACGUCGGAUGUCGCUCACCAACUAAGGCUUCCAUUGGAGGUCAGACUGGCUUCAACAUUUCCGUGACAAACGACGACCACACAUACAGUAAUGAGAUAACUGCCGUACGGACAGACAAACACUGUGCCAACUGUCUUCAAUCAGGGACGUCGUGUACGGUAAAGUCUGGCACCUGUCUGAUUGAGGGUAACUGUAGGACGGCGGGGAGGUAAAAGCAUGGAUCAUUAAGUGCUCUUAGAAACGCGCUUGACACGUUGUGAUAUAUUGAGUGGAUUCUCCGCAGGAAAU